GAUGAACGCUAGCGGCAGGCUUAACACAUGCAAGUCGAGGGGCAGCACGGAAGUGGUAACACUUUUGGUGGCGACCGGCGGACGGGUGCGUAACGCGUAUGCAACCUACCGACAACGUGGGGAUAACGGAUGGAAACUUCCACUAAUACCUGAUAAGCUCAGUGGAGUCAUUCGCGGCGGUUUAAAGAAUUUUGUUUGUUGACGGGCAUGCGUAACAUUAGUUAGUUGGUGGGGUAACGGCUCACAGAGGCUACGUUGGUUAGGGGGUCUGAGAGGUUAACCCCCCACACUGGAACUGAGACACGGUCCGGACUCCUACGGGAGGCAGCAGUGAGGAAUAUUGGUCAAUGGGCGAAAGCCUGAACCAGCCAUGCCGCGUGCAGGAAGACGGCUCUAGGAGUUGUAAACUGCUUUUAUACGAGGGUAAUUGCGCGCACGUGUGCGUGUUUGAAAGUAUCGUAUGAAUAAGGAUCGGCUAACUCCGUGCCAGCAGCCGCAGUAA
Molecule: ribosomal RNA, 502 nt
Filed under: uncultured bacterium
Lineage: Bacteria
Description: partial 16S ribosomal RNA
Rfam family: Bacterial small subunit ribosomal RNA
Source: RNAcentral